RNAcentral lists this unclassified non-coding RNA (1715 nucleotides) under Megachile rotundata (alfalfa leafcutting bee). RNAcentral's name for it is "mitochondrial inner membrane protein COX18, transcript variant X2". Lineage: Eukaryota; Metazoa; Arthropoda; Insecta; Hymenoptera; Megachilidae. The record is from RNAcentral.
UAUUUGUUUAUAAAAUGUGUUGUUUUCUUUUAAUAUUUUACGAAUCAGUGUAUAAAAGAAAUGGAACAUUUCUCCAUUAAAUUGAGGUUACGUGAGAACUAACCUAUUCUGCUACAGUUAUAAAUAUAUAUAAAUGCAUAUAAACACAUUGAAUAAAAACGUUCCAUUUGCAAGUGCUAUAUUAAUAUUUCUGUUAUAUCAGAAUGAUUACGCGAAUGUUUCAAAAAACUGUAAUAAAUAUCACACACAAUAAUGGAAUUCUUAUUAAAUAUUUUCAUCAUUGUAACAAUGUCUCGUUUCGAAAUGUUCAAGAAACUGUAUUUUUGAAAAAUACAGCGUUGGUGUAUUCUUCAAAUGAGCGAAAUGUUCCCAAAAGGCAAAACAUUUCUGCACAUCAACAAAUGCAUACUAAUAUCUUUAAAGGACCACUUUUAUGUAAUGCUACUCCAGUAUUAAGCAGUACAAUUCCUGUGAAUCAGCGUUUUACUGUAAAUAACAUUAGACAAUAUUCAAGUUCAUCACCUGAAAUUUUAAAUCAGACUGCAGUAUAUAGUAAUGGUGUAUGGCAAUUUUUUUCUGAAAGUUUACCUGUAGAAUAUCUUACACAGGCCUUAAAGAUAUUGCAAUCUGAAACAGGCUUACCAUGGUGGGCAACUAUUAUUCUUACAACAAUUAUGCUGAGAGUAUUUAUAAAUUUACCAUUAACUAUACAUGAUCAUCAAGUUAGAGCUAGGAUACAAAAUAUACAAUCUGAAUUAAAUGAAACUGCAAAAAAAUUACAAAUGGAAGCACGAAUGGGUAUGGCAACAUCUGGAUGGACUGCAUCAUAUGCAAACGCUGCCGUUAGACGUGCUUUAGCUGAAGAACGAACACAAUUGUAUCAAAUACAUAAUUGUCAUCCAUUAAAGAGUGCUGCAAUAAUAAUGCUUCAAGCACCCAUAUGGAUUAGUCUCUCCGUUGCAUUAUCAAACAUGUGUUACAUGUUACCUUACAGGAAUAAUGCUGCCUAUCAAACCUAUCUUCAAUUUACAACUGGUGGUUUUGGAUGGAUAAAAGAUCUUACAGUGACAGAUCCUUGUUUUGUGCUACCUAUACUUUUUGGGCUAUCUGGAUUAACUGUUAUAGAAAUAAAUCAGUUGUUAUUUAGAGUAAAAAAUGAAUCGAAAUUUACAAAGUAUAUGACAUACUUUUUGAGAGCAGUUAUUAUUUUCUUUGUAUAUAUUAUGGCAUAUAUGCCAUCAAGUUUGGCUUUGUACUGGACCACAAAUAAUUACUGUACACUGUUGCAAUCUCUUUUGCUGUUAUCUCCAAAGAUCCGCAGACUAGGAAGAAUACCUAAAACACAAUCUGAGUACCCACAUCCAUAUUCAGAAUUGUACAAAAAAUUAAAAGACAAAGUUGUUCUAAAAUUAAAAUAAAUUAAAAUGAAAGCAAUAAUUUGUGUCUAUUAUAUUCAAUUUAUAAUGCAGAUAACAAAGAGCGAUCGUUCAUAUUGUAUGAAAAUUCAUCAAUACAGGAAGCAACUUGAUUUACAAUGUGUUAAAUCUUUUGGUUUUAUUUUAAGAUCUUCUUCCUAGAAUGAACAUAGUGCUGCCUGCACCUUUGAUCUUGAUCGUUUCGCGAUACUAAGAUAGCAGAUUAAAUCACGUUCUUAUUUAUUGCGCCGAACAUGCAAUAUACAUCAAAUUCAUUUCAUUAGCAAAGAAGAUCUGAGG